CUCUUGAGCAAGGAGGAAUCAUCCUGACUUGGUCGCAUUUGGGACACACCUCGAGGUCGAUUGCUCCCUCUUGAGGAAGGUACGUCGAAAGUGAUGAGAGAUGGUCUUUAGUGAAGCCAGGGACGCCAUUGAUGUGAAGUGUCUCCAACUUAUGAUUGUUCUUCAUCAAGGUUUCAACACAUGCAAUGAUUCCUUCUGGAACUAACUCCGUGCAUCCCGUCACAAUUAACUGAGAAAGAAAGAAAGAAAAUUCAUUCCUCAACAACAACCCCUAACUUAAAAUGUUUCACUAUGACCAGUCGAGUUUCGUGAUGAUCAAGUUACCUUCUUGAUCAAAGGGUUUGCGUCAACCACACGGCGAAUCAAAUUCAACUUUCCUGAGGAUUUCAAAGUGAACCAUAGAUUAUCGUCGGUUAUACAAGAACUCAAUGGUAGUUCAACAACCACCUUGGUCCAUAAAACGGUUUGGUCUCUACUGGAGUUUCUUAGCACAGGAGAAACACCGGACAAAGAGAUAAAUUCAAACAAUGAAUGAAGGUAGGGAAGAACAAUCAUUAGCAUCUCGUGCACUGAUUGUGAUAACCAAUGAUAUUCUAUGGGAGUGAAAGGUUAGAGAGAACUCAACGGUGGUACAACGACGACCUUUGUCCAUAACAAGGUUUCAUCUCCUAACUGCGUUUUUGAGCACCAAAGAAACCCGAGACAUAGAAAGAAGCUCUAAUAAAGAGUGAAGAUAAUAAGAACAAUAUUUAACAUCUUUUUUUAGAUAUGUCUGUAUAAAAUGUCACGUAUAUUUGAAGAGAAAAGAAAACGUAAAUGUAGUUAACAUAAAAUUAGCCAAAAAGGAAACGAAUACGUAUUCGUAAAUAUAAGGAUUUCAGGGAAAGGAAGUAAAUAAAAUGAUAUUUGCAAUUAUUACUGAGAUUUUGUAUAAAACUCAUCUUUAAUUAGGAAAAUUAGAUUUCUUAUUGUAAUUUAAAGAUGUUCACAAUCGACUAAUGAAAAUACAAAGAAAAUUCGAAUGAAACCGACCCAAAUACGGAGAUUUCAUGAACAUUCGGCUAACGUUCUUUUUAUUUUGGAUGGUGUUUUCAUCUGUCGUACCAAAAGUUUACGUUAGAUAAACAUUCCGUCACGCAGCAGUUAGUACACUGUACACACCAUUCUUUUUUUUUUUUUAGUACACACCAUUCACCAUCCAAAUUUCUACAAAGUUUUUAGUUUCUUCUUUUGGCAACGAAUUUUUCGUCUUGUUGUCGGCUACAUAUGAAAAUUAUAACAUCGUCAUAGAAUGUUAUAUUGGUACGGUACCGUCUAUUUAUGCGGAACUAAGCCAUCCAAUCUUUUUAUCAAAAAAAAAAACUAAGCCAUCCAAUCUUUCAAAUUACUGCAUGCAAACAUAUAUAUGGUGGCAAUAUAUAUCCAUAUUAAUUGCUAUGAUAACUUAUGUUUAUGUAUUGUCAGUAGAAAAAACAAUAAGACGUUAAGAAGUCAUUUUUCCUAGUCAUUAAAACUUUCAUCCUAUGUUUGAUUAUCUAAGUUAUAUUGCCCCUAAAACCUAAAAAAUUUAUUAUUCGAAUGAAUCAAAUUGUUCUCUUUUUUGUGUUACUUUUCUCUAUGUUUAGCACUGCUAAAAGCUUAAGAAGACACUUGGAAACGGCACUUCAUUUGGCAAACUCUGUUUCACAUAAUAUUCUCUCCCUCAACCUUUUUUCUCUUGCUGCUUGCUACUGUUAUUUCGUUAACAACGUUGUAGUACUUCUGAAAAAUAAACAUCUCUCCAUUUUUGCUUCUUCAUUUUAACCUGUUACUUGCAACGGUUGAGUGAAAACGAGUUACUAAAAGCUUUAUUUUCAUUCAAUUGCAUUAACAUUUGGUCUGUAAUUGUUUACUAUAUUGAAAACUUGCUUAAAUUUUUUUUAUUACACAAUGGAUAUUUUUGGAUUUUACAUAAUCCAAGGUUUUCAUAAAGAACAUAAACAAAGGUGCAGGGAACAACAAAUGUUUUUAGAUAUGAAAGUCCAAAUCUUCUUAUUGGCUUUGGUAACAAGUUUGGCUUUAGUCUAAAACGAUAGGAUCGCUUGCGUUUGCUCCUGUCCUGUAGUCAGAAGAUUGGCAUGCAAACAUAGCCGCGUCCGUCGUUGUAUUAUCUUGUCGCAGGCUGCUGUGACCUGUGCAGUAGGGUUUGUUGCAGAACCUGCACUUUGGAAGCGUUUGGCAACAAUCAAGACACAAAACGUCUCCCCCACACGCUGUUUCUUCAACCUCAGUGUCUGGUCCAAGACAAACUGCACACUGCAUGCAUCUAGGGACGCAAUACCAGCAUCCCCUGCACUCCCUUUCAUUCCUUCCCACGCGUUUCUUCAACCAAAAACAAUAUUGAUGUUAAUUUUAGAAUCUCAAAAUCAUUUCUACGUUUGUAACAAUCUUUAACUUACACAUGAUUCUCUUGAGCAAGGCGGAAUCAUCCGGACUUGGUCGCAUUUGGGACACACCUCGAGGUCGAUUGCUCCCUCUUGAGGAAGGUAAGUCGAAAGUGCUGAGAGAUGGUCUUUAGUGAAGCCAGGGACACCAUUGAUGUGAAGUGUCUCCAACUUAUGAUUGUUCUUAGCCAAACUUUCAACACAUGCAAUGAUUCCUUCUGGAACCAACUCCGUGCAUCCCGUCACAAUUA
RNAcentral lists this long non-coding RNA (2674 nucleotides) under Brassica rapa (field mustard). RNAcentral's name for it is "long non-coding RNA (BRAP_LNC004707)". Lineage: Eukaryota; Viridiplantae; Streptophyta; Magnoliopsida; Brassicales; Brassicaceae. The record is from RNAcentral.